This 445-nucleotide ribosomal RNA is filed under the name uncultured bacterium. RNAcentral's name for it is "partial 16S ribosomal RNA". It matches the Rfam family "Bacterial small subunit ribosomal RNA", at positions 354 to 796 of the family's 1533-position model. The record is from RNAcentral.
GUUAGGAAUAUUGGACAAUGGGCGCAAGCCUGAUCCAGCCAUGCCGCGUGCCGGAUGAAGGCGCUCUGCGUUGUAAACGGCUUUUAUUCGGGAAGAAGAGUAGGGAUGCGUCCUUAUGUGACGGUACCGAAUGAAUAAGCACCGGCUAACUCCGUGCCAGCAGCCGCGGUAAUACGGAGGGUGCGAGCGUUGUCCGGAUUUAUUGGGUUUAAAGGGUGCGUAGGCGGUUAAUUAAGUCAGUAGUGAAAGACUGUCGCUCAACGACGGAUGGGAUAUUGGUACUGGUUAACUUGAAUCAGGUUAGAGUUGGCGGAAUGGGUCAUGUAGCGGUGAAAUGCUUAGAUAUGACUUGGAACACCGAUAGCGAAGGCAGCUGACUGAGCCUUGAUUGACGCUGAGGUACGAAAGUGUGGGUAGCGAACAGGAUUAGAAACCCCGGUAGUCC